UAAAUAUACAAUAAUAAAAGAGGAGUUAAAUAAAUUCCUCCCAUCACCCCAACAAAACACUCAUUUCCACUCAAUAAAAAUAAAACAAACAAUACAAAAAUAAAAACAAAUGUCAAACUCUAUAGGGUCUUCUCGUCCCAUAAAAACAUUUAAGAAUUUUAACUCAAAAACCAAAUUCAAUAAAACAAUGCCUCUAAGACAGCUCAUGUCUCGUCAAGCCAUUCAUACCAGAUCACAAUUAAAGAACUAAUGAUUAUGCUACCUUUGCACGGUCAAAAUACCGCGGCCCUUCAACAACAAGUCAGUGGGCAGGCCAUACUUCAAAAACUAACAAGAAAAGAUGUUUUUGUUAAACAGGCGGACAUAAAAAUCUUUGCCUAAUUCCUCAAAAGCAAUUAACACCUUAUUUUAAAAUAACAAAACAAAUAUAAUUUACUAAUUACACAAUAAUUACCAAACAGACCAAAAAUAAAGAAAACAUUUCAAUAAACAACUUAAAUAACAAAAAAAUCAAAAAAAGAACAAAUAAAAUUUUAACAUAAUCAAAUAGAAAAUCACCAUAAAAUCCACAAAACUAAAUUCAAAUCAAACCAAUUAUAAGGAUAAAACAAGGAGCUAGUCCCCCUUAAUCUUAACAUCAAAUAAAAAUAAAUAA
Molecule: ribosomal RNA, 655 nt
Filed under: Nasutitermes eucalypti
Lineage: Eukaryota; Metazoa; Arthropoda; Insecta; Blattodea; Termitidae
Description: partial 16S ribosomal RNA
Source: RNAcentral